Molecule: ribosomal RNA, 253 nt
Filed under: uncultured bacterium
Lineage: Bacteria
Description: partial 16S ribosomal RNA
Rfam family: Bacterial small subunit ribosomal RNA
Source: RNAcentral
UACGUAGGGUGCGAGCGUUAAUCGGAAUUACUGGGCGUAAAGCGCGUGUAGGCUGCCCUGCAAGUCGGAUGUGAAAGCCCUGGGCUCAACCUAGGAAGUGCACUCGAAACUGCAGGGCUGGAGUCCUGGAGAGGAAGGCGGAAUUCUCGGUGUAGAGGUGAAAUUCGUAGAUAUCGAGAGGAACACCGGUGGCGAAGGCGGCCUUCUGGACAGUGACUGACGCUGAGACGCGAAAGCGUGGGGAGCAAACAGG